This 100-nucleotide non-coding RNA is filed under the name Gracilibacillus boraciitolerans. RNAcentral's name for it is "TPP sequence". It matches the Rfam family "TPP riboswitch aptamer (THI element)". Rfam says of the family: Vitamin B(1) in its active form thiamin pyrophosphate (TPP) is an essential coenzyme that is synthesised by coupling of pyrimidine and thiazole moieties in bacteria. The previously detected thiamin-regulatory element, thi box was extended, resulting in a new, highly conserved RNA secondary structure, the THI element, which is widely distributed in eubacteria and also occurs in some archaea. Analysis of operon structures identified a large number of new candidate thiamin-regulated genes, mostly transporters, in various prokaryotic organisms. Lineage: Bacteria; Bacillati; Bacillota; Bacilli; Caryophanales; Bacillaceae. RNAcentral also lists the same sequence under 1 other name. The record is from RNAcentral.
AUAGAACACUAGGGGAGCUUUAAAUAGCUGAGACGAAUCAUUCGGACCCUUUGAACCUGAACUGGUUAAUACUAGCGGAGGGAAGUGGUGUGAAGGCGAA